UAACCUUACCUCCCCAAGAAUCUGGCUAAUCACCAGCAUAUUUGAUAACAACAGAGAUCUACUAAUCAAAGAUUACUAUUCUUGCUAAACGCCACAAGCCAAUUGGAUGAGGCUGAAAUAACUUAAUUACCAGGGCUACAACAAUUUAUAGCUAAUCCUUCUUCAUAAGUUUGCUGGCAAUAAACCAGCAUCAGUAAUCACAUGACAGUGAAACUGUCCACCAUACUAAUAAAUAAUAAUAAUAAGGGAUCCAUUUACCAUGUAAAUAUAGGCAACUGUCCAACAAGAAUCUAUCAGCACUUCCAUUCCAUGAUUGGAAUCUUGUGUUACAAAUUAUGGAGCAAUUACUACAAACUAUAAGCAAGUCAUCAACUAA
RNAcentral lists this unclassified non-coding RNA (376 nucleotides) under Hevea brasiliensis (rubber tree). The record is from RNAcentral. Lineage: Eukaryota; Viridiplantae; Streptophyta; Magnoliopsida; Malpighiales; Euphorbiaceae.